CCUACGGGUGGCAGCAGUGGGGAAUAUUGGACAAUGGGCGAAAGCCUGAUCCAGCCAUGCCGCGUGUGUGAAGAAGGCCUUCGGGUUGUAAAGCACUUUCAGUGGGGAAGAAAGCCUUGGGGCUAAUACCCUCGAGGAAGGACAUCACCCACAGAAGAAGCACCGGCUAACUCCGUGCCAGCAGCCGCGGUAAUACGGAGGGUGCGAGCGUUAAUCGGAAUUACUGGGCGUAAAGCGCGCGUAGGCGGUCUGAUAAGCCGGUUGUGAAAGCCCCGGGCUCAACCUGGGAACGGCGUCCGGAACUGUCAGGCUAGAGUGCAGGAGAGGAAGGUAGAAUUCCCGGUGUAGCGGUGCAAUGCGUAGAGAUCGGGAGGAAUACCAGUGGCGAAGGCGGCCUUCUGGACUGACACUGACGCUGAGGUGCGAAAGCGUGGGUAGCAAACAGGAUUAGAUACCCCAGUAGUC
RNAcentral lists this ribosomal RNA (465 nucleotides) under Vreelandella stevensii. RNAcentral describes it as "partial 16S ribosomal RNA". It matches the Rfam family "Bacterial small subunit ribosomal RNA", at positions 338 to 795 of the family's 1533-position model. The record is from RNAcentral. Lineage: Bacteria; Pseudomonadati; Pseudomonadota; Gammaproteobacteria; Oceanospirillales; Halomonadaceae.